RNAcentral lists this non-coding RNA (30 nucleotides) under Mus musculus (house mouse). The record is from RNAcentral. Lineage: Eukaryota; Metazoa; Chordata; Mammalia; Rodentia; Muridae.
UGAACAAGCUGCCCCUUCUUCCAUGGUUGC